RNAcentral lists this unclassified non-coding RNA (339 nucleotides) under soil metagenome. RNAcentral describes it as "partial contains 5.8S ribosomal RNA, internal transcribed spacer 2, and large subunit ribosomal RNA". The stretch from base 1 to 120 matches the Rfam family "5.8S ribosomal RNA", at positions 35 to 154 of the family's 154-position model. The record is from RNAcentral.
GAUGAAGAACGUAGCGAAAUGCGAUAAGUAGUGUGAAUUGCAGAAUUCAGUGAAUCAUCGAAUCUUUGAACGCACAUUGCGCCCUAUGGUAUUCCGUAGGGUAUGCCUGUUCGAGCGUCAUUUGUACCCUCAAGCUCUGCUUGGUGUUGGGUGUUUGUUCCGCCUCUGUGUGUGAACUCGCCUCAAAACAAUUGGCAGCCGGCGUACUUGUUUCGGAGCGCAGCACAUUUUGCGAUCCAGAUCAACGUACAGCGGCAUCCAAGAAGCCUUAUUUAACGCUCUUGACCUCGGAUCAGGUAGGGAUACCCGCUGAACUUAAGCAUAUCAAUAAGCGGAGGA